Molecule: ribosomal RNA, 483 nt
Filed under: uncultured bacterium
Lineage: Bacteria
Description: bacterial SSU rRNA
Rfam family: Bacterial small subunit ribosomal RNA
Source: RNAcentral
GAUCAACGCUGGCGGCGUGCCUAAUGCAUGCAAGUCGAACGGGGUGACUUUCGGGUCACCGCCGUGGCGGACGGGUGCGGAACACGUGGGCAACCUGCCCUGAGGUGGGGGAUAGCCGUGGGAAACCGCGGGUAAUUCCGCAUAAGCUCGCUCCUUGGUAGGAGGAGGGAGGAAAGGGUCUUCGGACUCGCCUUAGGAGGGGGCUGCGGCCGAUUAGCUAGUUGGUGGGGUAAUGGCUUACCAAGGCGAUGAUCGGUAGCUGGUCUGAGAGGACGGCCAGCCACACGGGGACUGAGAGACGGCCCCGACUCCUACGGGAGGCAGCAGCAAGGAAUCUUCCGCAAUGGGCGCAAGCCUGACGGAGCAACGCCGCGUGGGGGAUGAGGCCCUUCGGGGUGUAAACCCCUUUUCUUCGGGAUGAAGUUCUGACAGUACCGGAGGAAGAAGGACCGGCUAACUACGUGCCAGCCGCCGCGGUAACAC